GACGAACGCUGGCGGCGUGCUUAACACAUGCAAGUCGAACGAUGAUGCUGGAGCUUGCUCCAGUUGAUUAGUGGCGAACGGGUGAGUAACACGUGAGCAAUCUGCCCUUGACUCUGGGAUAACUGCGGGAAACUGUAGCUAAUACCGGAUACUUUCACCGGAAGGCAUCUUCUGGUGAUGAAAGAAUUUCGGUCAGGGAUGAGCCGGCGGCCUAUCAGCUUGUUGGUGAGGUAACGGCUCACCAAGGCGACGAGGGGUAGCCGGCCUGGGAGGGUGACCGGCAACACGGUGACUGAGCCACGGCCCAGACUCCUACGGGAGGCAGCAGUGGGAAAUAUUGCACAAUGGGCGCAAGCCUGAUGCAGCAGCGCCGCGUGGGGGAUGACGGCCUUCGGGUUGUAAACCUCUUUUAGAAGGGAAGAAGCGAAAGUGACGGUACCUGCAGAAAAAGCACCGGCUAACUACGUGCCAGCAGCCGCCGUAA
This 484-nucleotide ribosomal RNA is filed under the name uncultured bacterium. Its description in RNAcentral is "partial 16S ribosomal RNA". It matches the Rfam family "Bacterial small subunit ribosomal RNA", at positions 28 to 523 of the family's 1533-position model. The record is from RNAcentral.